CACCGCCCGUCACACCAUGGGAGUUGAUUGCUCCAGAAGUGCCUGAGCGAACCGUAAGGGAGCAGGGCCCAAGGAGUGGUCGAUGACUGGGGUG
Molecule: ribosomal RNA, 94 nt
Filed under: uncultured bacterium
Lineage: Bacteria
Description: partial 16S ribosomal RNA
Rfam family: Bacterial small subunit ribosomal RNA
Source: RNAcentral